GACGAACGCUGGCGGCGUGCCUAAUACAUGCAAGUAGAACGCUGAAGCGAGGAGCUUGCUCUUCUUGGAUGAGUUGCGAACGGGUGAGUAACGCGUAGGUAACCUGCCUGGUAGCGGGGGAUAACUAUUGGAAACGAUAGCUAAUACCGCAUAAAAUGGAUUAUCGCAUGAUAAUCCAUUGAAAGGUGCAAAUGCAUCACUACCAGAUGGACCUGCGUUGUAUUAGCUAGUUGGUGGGGUAACGGCUCACCAAGGCGACGAUACAUAGCCGACCUGAGAGGGUGAUCGGCCACACUGGGACUGAGACACGGCCCAGACUCCUACGGGAGGCAGCAGUAGGGAAUCUUCGGCAAUGGACGGAAGUCUGACCGAGCAACGCCGCGUGAGUGAAGAAGGUUUUCGGAUCGUAAAGCUCUGUUGUAAGAGAAGAACGAGUGUGAGAGUGGAAAGUUCACACUGUGACGGUAUCUUACCAGAAAGAGACGGCUAACUACGUG
RNAcentral lists this ribosomal RNA (497 nucleotides) under uncultured bacterium. Its description in RNAcentral is "partial 16S ribosomal RNA". It matches the Rfam family "Bacterial small subunit ribosomal RNA", at positions 28 to 507 of the family's 1533-position model. The record is from RNAcentral.